CGUGCAGGCGGUGCGGUAAGUUAGGCGUGAAAUCUCCCGGCUCAACUGGGAGAGGUCGUCUAAUACUACCGUACUUGAGAGCAGAAGAGAAGAUGGAAUUCCCGGUGUAGUGGUGAAAUGCGUAGAUAUCGGGAGGAACACCAGUGGCGAAGGCGAUCUUCUGGUCUGUUUCUGACGCUCAGACGAGCAGCUAGGUAGUAAACG
Molecule: ribosomal RNA, 204 nt
Filed under: uncultured bacterium
Lineage: Bacteria
Description: partial 16S ribosomal RNA
Rfam family: Bacterial small subunit ribosomal RNA
Source: RNAcentral